CAGGAUCAUCUACAACAAUCUCCAUGGCAACAGCAGGAGGUCAGGUCGCCACUCUGCAGGGCCUGGGUCCCACCUGAGGAAGAGUCAAGAGUCGUUCAGUAUCCAGGCCGACAAGAAGGAGAAGACCAGACACAACCACUUCAUCAAGACAGCACAGCCAUACAAACCCAAGUUGGAGUCGGCGACAGACCAGUCCAAGAAAA
This is a long non-coding RNA of Oncorhynchus masou masou (cherry salmon), 203 nucleotides long. RefSeq lists it as uncharacterized. The record is from RefSeq and is a predicted model, not a curated record. The transcript has 3 exons. NCBI's taxonomy places the organism in Eukaryota, Metazoa, Chordata, Actinopteri, Salmoniformes, Salmonidae.